AGCUUUGCACAGUGGCAGUAUCGUAGCCAAUGAGGUUUAUCCGAGGCACAAUUAUUGCUAAUUAAAAAAAAAAGUAGAAAUUUAUUUUAUCAUCCUGGUAUGCCCCUUAAAUACCAUCAGUAACUUACUGCUAGGUUUGGGGUCAUAUUCUAAAUUCUUAACCAGGCAUUCAAGUC
RNAcentral lists this small nuclear RNA (176 nucleotides) under Cervus hanglu yarkandensis (Yarkand deer). Its description in RNAcentral is "U4 spliceosomal RNA (ENSCHYG00000021400.1)". It matches the Rfam family "U4 spliceosomal RNA". Rfam says of the family: U4 small nuclear RNA (U4 snRNA) is a component of the major U2-dependent spliceosome. Lineage: Eukaryota; Metazoa; Chordata; Mammalia; Artiodactyla; Cervidae. The record is from Rfam by way of RNAcentral.